RNAcentral lists this non-coding RNA (134 nucleotides) under Palpitomonas bilix. The record is from RNAcentral.
AAUCCAGCAGAAUGCACUACAAACAUAAAAGGAAAAGCAAAAAAAAAAGCAAAAAAAAACAUAAAAAAGAGAAACAUCAUUCGUACCUUCUUUACUUUUCCUCUCUCUGUUUUCUCUUCUUUCUCGCAUUUUUU